Molecule: ribosomal RNA, 892 nt
Filed under: Allographa oldayana
Lineage: Eukaryota; Fungi; Ascomycota; Lecanoromycetes; Ostropales; Graphidaceae
Description: SSU rRNA
Rfam family: Bacterial small subunit ribosomal RNA
Source: RNAcentral
AAUAGCCUAACAGGCUGAACCAGCAACUUGGAGGAAUGUAUGGGAAAAACUGGUAAAAUGUGAUGUACCUGGUAGUAUUAGAGGUUGAUACGAUAUUAACAAAGUUAAUUAAAAUUCUAUGUAGAUAUUGAUUAUGACAAUAUUUGCUUAUUUCUUGACCAAGUCACGUGCCAGCAGUCGCGGCAAUACGUGGUAGAUUAGUGUUAUUCAUCUUUAAUAGGUUUAAAGGGUACCUAGACGGUUAAUUAGACAUAAAAGUGUACUAUUAUUAACUAGAGUUUAAUGUAAGAAGGAUUGAGUACGGUGAGUGUAGAGAUAAAAUUCUGUCAUACCACUUAAGGAACUGGUAAAGGCGAAGGCAACCUUUUAUGUAAAAACUGACGUUAAGGGACGAAGGCUCGAAAUAAGUAACAGGAUUAGAUACCCUAGUAUUGUGGGCAGACAAUGAUGAGUGUCAUAUGCAAGAAAUUAUGGAUUCGCAUUUGUAUUUGUUUGAUUAUAUGGAAAUAAUUGAAAUAAAUACCAGUUUUGUGUACAUAAGAAAGCGUACAUGGAAUGGAAAAAAUAGAAUCCCGUUUUGUGUAUAAAUGAAAGUGUAAGCACUCCACCUCAAGAGUAACGUGGCAACAUAGGAACUGAAACCAUUAGACCGUUUCUGAAACUCGUAGUGAAGUAUGUUGUUUAAUUUGAUAGUCCUCAAAGAACCUUACCACAAUUUGUAUAACUUGAACAUAAGAUAUAAUUACCUAUAUAUUAUAUCUGAUACAAGUAACAAGCGUUGCACGGCUGUCUUCAGUUAAUGUUGUGAAACUUUGGUUAGAUCCAUUUAAUUGACGUAAACCCUUACUUUAUUUAUUAUAAAGUAGUUCGCCGCUAUAUUGGUAGUGAUAUA